Molecule: non-coding RNA, 32 nt
Filed under: Geobacter sulfurreducens PCA
Lineage: Bacteria; Pseudomonadati; Thermodesulfobacteriota; Desulfuromonadia; Geobacterales; Geobacteraceae
Source: RNAcentral
UUGUCACGCUUCGCGGCGCAGAACCGGAAACA